Molecule: ribosomal RNA, 253 nt
Filed under: uncultured bacterium
Lineage: Bacteria
Description: partial 16S ribosomal RNA
Rfam family: Bacterial small subunit ribosomal RNA
Source: RNAcentral
UACGUAGGGUGCGAGCGUUAAUCGGAAUUACUGGGCGUAAAGCGUGCGCAGGCGGUUCGUUAAGACAGGUGUGAAAUCCCCGGGCUCAACCUGGGAAUGGCGCUUGUGACUGGCGGGCUGGAGUACGGCAGAGGGAGGUGGAAUUCCACGUGUAGCAGUGAAAUGCGUAGAGAUGUGGAGGAACACCGAUGGCGAAGGCAGCCUCCUGGGCCAGUACUGACGCUCAUGCACGAAAGCGUGGGGAGCAAACAGG